Non-coding RNA from Musa acuminata subsp. malaccensis (wild Malaysian banana), 75 nucleotides. The record is from Rfam. NCBI's taxonomy places the organism in Eukaryota, Viridiplantae, Streptophyta, Magnoliopsida, Zingiberales, Musaceae.
CAGAAUGAUGAAAUCCAGGAGAUGUAGCAGACUGAGCAGAGAACGACGUGUAGGGUCGACCCGUCGAGUCCGUGA